UACGUAGGGUGCGAGCGUUAAUCGGAAUUACUGGGCGUAAAGCGUGCGCAGGCGGUUGUAUAAGUCAGAUGUGAAAUCCCCGGGCUCAACCUGGGAACUGCAUUUGAGACUGUACGGCUAGAGUGUGGCAGAGGGGGGUAGAAUUCCACGUGUAGCAGUGAAAUGCGUAGAGAUGUGGAGGAAUACCGAUGGCGAAGGCAGCCCCCUGGGUCACUACUGACGCUCAUGCACGAAAGCGUGGGGAGCAAACAGGAUUAGAUACCCUGGUAGUCCACGCCCUAAACGAUGUCAACUAGGUGUUGGGAGGGUUAAACCUUUUAGUGCCGUAGCUAACGCGUGAAGUUGACCGCCUGGGGAGUACGGCCGCAAGGCUAAA
This 376-nucleotide ribosomal RNA is filed under the name uncultured bacterium. RNAcentral describes it as "bacterial SSU rRNA". It matches the Rfam family "Bacterial small subunit ribosomal RNA", at positions 524 to 898 of the family's 1533-position model. The record is from RNAcentral.